RNAcentral lists this ribosomal RNA (504 nucleotides) under uncultured bacterium. RNAcentral describes it as "partial 16S ribosomal RNA". It matches the Rfam family "Bacterial small subunit ribosomal RNA", at positions 30 to 523 of the family's 1533-position model. The record is from RNAcentral.
AUUGGACGCUGGCGGCAGGCCUAACACAUGCAAGUCGAACGGUAGCACAGAGAGCUUGCUCUCGGGUGACGAGUGGCGGACGGGUGAGUAAUGUCUGGGAAACUGCCCGAUGGAGGGGGAUAACUACUGGAAACGGUAGCUAAUACCGCAUAACGUCGCAAGACCAAAGUGGGGGACCUUCGGGCCUCACACCAUCGGAUGUGCCCAGAUGGGAUUAGCUAGUAGGUGGGGUAAUGGCUCACCUAGGCGACGAUCCCUAGCUGGCCUGAGAGGAUGACCAUCCACACGGGAACUGAGACACGGUCCAGACUCCUACGGGAGGCAGCAGUGGGGAAUAUUGCACAAUGGGCGCAAGCCUGAUGCAGCCAUGCCGCGUGUAUGAAGAAGGCCUUCGGGUUGUAAAGUACUUUCAGCGGGGAGGAAGGCGGUGAAGUUAAUAACUUCACCGAUUGACGUUACCCGCAGAAGAAGCACCGGCUAACUCCGUGCCAGCCGCCGCAGUAA